AGUGAACGCUGGCGGUAGGCCUAACACAUGCAAGUCGAACGGCAGCACAGUAAGAGCUUGCUCUUACGGGUGGCGAGUGGCGGACGGGUGAGGAAUACAUCGGAAUCUACUUUUUCGUGGGGGAUAACGUAGGGAAACUUACGCUAAUACCGCAUACGACCUACGGGUGAAAGCAGGGGAUCUUCGGACCUUGCGCGAUUGAAUGAGCCGAUGUCGGAUUAGCUAGUUGGCGGGGUAAAGGCCCACCAAGGCGACGAUCCGUAGCUGGUCUGAGAGGAUGAUCAGCCAAACUGGAACUGAGACACGGUCCAGACUACUACGGGAGGCAGCAGUGGGGAAUAUUGGACAAUGGGCGCAAGCCUGAUCCAGCCAUACCGCGUGGGUGAAGAAGGCCUUCGGGUUGUAAAGCCCUUUUGUUGGGAAAGAAAAGCAGCAGGUUAAUACCCCGCUGUUCUGACGGUACCCAAAGAAUAAGCACCGGCUAACUUCGUG
RNAcentral lists this ribosomal RNA (492 nucleotides) under uncultured bacterium. RNAcentral's name for it is "partial 16S ribosomal RNA". It matches the Rfam family "Bacterial small subunit ribosomal RNA", at positions 29 to 507 of the family's 1533-position model. The record is from RNAcentral.